RNAcentral lists this long non-coding RNA (297 nucleotides) under Chinchilla lanigera (long-tailed chinchilla). RNAcentral's name for it is "lncRNA (ENSCLAG00000027435.1)". Lineage: Eukaryota; Metazoa; Chordata; Mammalia; Rodentia; Chinchillidae. The record is from RNAcentral.
CAGAGACAACCUCCAGCUACUUUUAUAGAAGAGGGAGCUGAUAGAAAGUGACGACUGAUAACAUUUCCAGCCUUCAGAAGACAAGAGAUCUCAGGAGACCAAAAGAAGUUUUAGUGUAUGUGAGUUCCUGAAUAAAUGCCAGAAAACACAUUGUUUAGAGACAUCAUUAAAAUUCAUGCAAUUUAAAUGUUAAUGUUUUAAGCAUAACCUUAUGCCAAAGGGAAAAUGCUCUAUUUGCUUCCAAUAUGUAAAUUUUAAAUUUACAUAACUAUAUCAUAAUAUUUUUCUUAUAAAAAG